UUUAGCCUACGGGACGCAGCAGUGGGGAAUAUUGCACAAUGGGGGAAACCCUGAUGCAGCGACGCCGCGUGAGUGAAGAAGUAUCUCGGUAUGUAAAGCUCUAUCAGCAGGAAAGAUAAUGACGGUACCUGACUAAGAAGCCCCGGCUAACUACGUGCCAGCAGCCGCGGUAAUACGUAGGGGGCAAGCGUUAUCCGGAUUUACUGGGUGUAAAGGGAGCGUAGACGGUUACGCAAGUCUGGAGUGAAAGGCGGGGGCCCAACCCCCGGACUGCUUUGGAAACUGUAUAACUGGAGUGCAGGAGG
RNAcentral lists this ribosomal RNA (305 nucleotides) under uncultured bacterium. Its description in RNAcentral is "bacterial SSU rRNA". It matches the Rfam family "Bacterial small subunit ribosomal RNA", at positions 332 to 655 of the family's 1533-position model. The record is from RNAcentral.